UGAUGCCAAACUCAGUGUGGAUGCCCAAUU
RNAcentral lists this non-coding RNA (30 nucleotides) under Homo sapiens (human). Lineage: Eukaryota; Metazoa; Chordata; Mammalia; Primates; Hominidae. The record is from RNAcentral.